AAGGAAGGAAGGAAGAGAAAGGAAAGGAAAAGAAAGAAGAAAAGAAACAAAACAAAACAAAACCCUUCUCAAUAAUAUUGUAAUAAGAGAACAAAAGGGGAAAGUUUGGAGACUUCAGUUACAGCCUUGGUCCCUGCUGUUGGAGCGUUUCCUUUUUCCUUCUUCUUUUCUUGUAUUCACUCCAAGCAUUACUUUUACAAACGGGUUUGGUAACCAAGGCCACUACCCCCUCAAGAGGUUUCCAAAACACGCCCUCUCUCCUUUUCUUGCCUUUUUCCUUUCCUUGCUUUCUCUCUCCUUUUAGCUUAGGCUCCUGUUUGAUGAAUUCUUUUCCCUGUCUUAAAACUAUAAUCUCUCUCUCUCUCUCUCUCUCUCUCUCUCUCUCUCUCUCUCUCUCUCUCUCUCUCUCUCUCUCUCCACUUCCUCCCUUCUUCCUCUCAGUUCCUGACAGUUCAGAUGAAGCUCUCAAAGCGCGGUUGGGGUACCCUUGACAGGAGCCGCAGUCACCGACUGCGAGCUAAUAACUAGCGCCGGCUCAAGGAAAGGCUUUGGAGAGGGUUGGAGGAGAAUGGGUGACAACAGAUGCAGUGCGACCGAGAAAUAAGAGUGAAGUUCAUGUGCUGUCCAUUCCCCACCACCACCACCAGCUCCAUCCUUUCUUCAUGUUUUUAUACUCUUCUUCUCAUAUACCUCAGAGGUUGAGAAAGAGAAAAAGGAGAUGAAGGAAGAGGAGGAGGAAGAAGAACAAGAAUGAG
Long non-coding RNA from Dromiciops gliroides (monito del monte), 755 nucleotides. RefSeq lists it as uncharacterized. NCBI's taxonomy places the organism in Eukaryota, Metazoa, Chordata, Mammalia, Microbiotheria, Microbiotheriidae. The transcript has 4 exons. The record is from RefSeq and is a predicted model, not a curated record.